AAAGACUUGACGGUACUUCACAACAACCUAGAGGAGCCUGUCUAAUAACCGAUACCCCACGAUUAACCCAACCCACUCUAGCCCAUCAGUCUAUAUACCGCCGUCACCAGCUUACAUUGUGAAAAAAACAAAGUAAACCUAACAGACCCCCCCCCCCCUAACACGACAGGUCGAGGUGUAACAAAUGAGUGGGUAAAAGAUGGGCUACAUUUUCUUUCAAACAGAAAACACGAAUAGACUAUGAAACUAGAAACUGAAGGCGGAUUUAGCAGUAUGCUAAAGACAAAAUACUUA
Molecule: ribosomal RNA, 294 nt
Filed under: Atractus latifrons (Broadhead ground snake)
Lineage: Eukaryota; Metazoa; Chordata; Lepidosauria; Squamata; Dipsadidae
Description: partial small subunit ribosomal RNA
Source: RNAcentral